UAACGGCUAAAGCCUGCGCUUUAACUCAAAGCCAAGAAAUCUCUCUCUCUCUCAACUCUCUCUCACACACACACACUGAGCGUGUAACUGUGUGUUCUGCAUGUAGAUAUACUCUUUUCUCCCCCCUUUCUGGUGCGUAUACAGUUAAAGCGGUGCGGAGGCGAGUAAUUUCAGGGCGACAGUUCUGGCCGGGCUACGGGUGGUGCUCAGUCGACUCGGCGGCGGGAACCGGCGGCGGGGAGGUUAGAUUAAGGUGAUGGAGUGGUGGCACAAGAUGGUCUUCCCGGUUAGAAGGGCUUGGUUUGCCGUCUCGGCCCGAAUCAGAGCCCGCAAAAAUGGUGCCGGGCUUCUGAAACUCCAUGACGACAUCCAAACAUGUGGAUACGAGGAUGUCCAGAUCAUGUGGGAAAUGUUGAGGAGGACGGAAACAGAAGUAAUGUCCCAUCACAAACAGCGCAAGCACCGGUGGCUCUGGAGGAAUUUUGCAUGUUCCGGCCACGGUGAACCGGCUUCAUCCUUCUCAACCAAUCAAACUCAAUAAGAAAAAAAGCCACUUUCUAUUUAUAGCUGCUGCAAUAAUUAUACCCCGUCACACCGUAGUUUAUGAGCAUCAUCUACGUGAUAUGGUGCAAUACACAAGCAGUAUGUUAUGAAAUGUGUUAUCUGCUGCACAUUCACUUUCAGCUUGUAAAGACUACUUCAUCACAAUGAAGUUAUUUGUAAAUAUGCAUCAUCACCAUGCUUAGUCAUGAUCCUGAAAGGAGUUUUACUACAGAGAAAAGAACUUCUGAGUGA
This is a non-coding RNA of Sesamum indicum (sesame), 795 nucleotides long. NCBI's taxonomy places the organism in Eukaryota, Viridiplantae, Streptophyta, Magnoliopsida, Lamiales, Pedaliaceae. The record is from RefSeq and is a predicted model, not a curated record.